Molecule: ribosomal RNA, 497 nt
Filed under: uncultured bacterium
Lineage: Bacteria
Description: partial 16S ribosomal RNA
Rfam family: Bacterial small subunit ribosomal RNA
Source: RNAcentral
GAUGAACGCUGGCGGCGUGCCUAAUACAUGCAAGUCGAGCGAACAGACGAGGAGCUUGCUCCUCUGACGUUAGCGGCGGACGGGUGAGUAACACGUGGAUAACCUACCUAUAAGACUGGGAUAACUUCGGGAAACCGGAGCUAAUACCGGAUAAUAUAUUGAACCGCACGGUUCAAUAGUGAAAGACGGUUUUGCUGUCACUUAUAGAUGGAUCCGCGCCGCAUUAGCUAGUUGGUAAGGUAACGGCUCACCAAGGCAACGAUGCGUAGCCGACCUGAGAGGGUGAUCGGCCACACUGGAACUGAGACACGGUCCAGACUCCUACGGGAGGCAGCAGUAGGGAAUCUUCCGCAAUGGGCGAAAGCCUGACGGAGCAACGCCGCGUGAGUGAUGAAGGUCUUCGGAUCGUAAAACUCUGUUAUUAGGGAAGAACAAAUGUGUAAGUAACUAUGCACGUCUUGACGGUACCUAAUCAGAAAGCCACGGCUAACUACGUG